UGUAGAGCUGGAGAGGUGGAACGGCCUCGUGACCUCCAGUAAGGGUCCGAAAAUCCAGAAUUAUGCACACCCUCAGAGCCAGCCUGGAGGAGUUUCCUGUGAAAGGAUUUGAUGAGUGGCUGCGUGUUCUCCGGGAGGAAGGUCUACGGCGACGCUGUCACCGGCUCUGUUCCCAGCCUCGUCAAGGGCAUCGUUAUGACCUUGAAUGAAGAUAUGAAUUGGUCUACGUGGGGGUAGGGUCCAUCGCAGCAAGCGAAUUGGAUAACAGCCGGGAUCUAGAGAGAGGCUGACAGGCAGGAGCAGCCCUACCAGAUCGAAUAAGGAAGGUCAUUGCCCGAGUACGUGGUCAAAUGUGGGGGCCACUAUUCAUGAUGGAAGGAAGCAGGCCCUAGCCAUGGACGGCAAGUCUGACUCAGCGGGCCUCCAGGGCAACCUGGAACCAUCAAGUCACCACGACCCUUGGCUCGGCCGGCCAGUGGGGUGCAGUCCGGUGUCCACGAUCCUUUCAUACAGGUGAGGAGAAUCAUCCUCCCCAGGGCACUUCCCCAACUUUGCCCCAGGCCAGCAGUCCCAGGAGAAGGGCACAGAGGCCCAGGCUGGCCCCUGAACAUUCUCAGUCAGCUCCGGCCCUGCAAGAGGCUGUGGGAGGCCAGUGACGGCGGCCCAGCCUGCUCCUGGUGUCUCGGCACAGGCCCCCCGGUCUGUUCGCCCCCAGCCCCGCUUCUGGAAGUCCCGCAGCUGCUCUUUCCCCUGGGCAGGCCGUGCAGGGCCCCCGGGAGCAGGUCCGAGGACCCGGAGCCUGGGGGAGGCCUGGCCUCUGCCCUCUAGGUCUUCUUCGCCUGCUUCCCCCUAGGGUUCCUGCCAAGCCCUGGAUGUGGGAACAUGGGAGGGAAGGAGAGGCUGGGCACACGGGGGGCUGCAGCGGCGUGUGGUAUUCUCAUUACCGGGGAGCAGAAAGGGCCAGGCCAGCCCCCCCCCCCCCGCCCCCGGGCCACUGUGGCCGCCUUCACACCUCCUCUCGGCUGUUGACACAAGGCCACCUCCCCCCCGGGCGGAAGGUGUCAACUUGGGAACCACGGUGUUCGGGAGCCUCCAAAACAGGCAGCAGGUCCUCUCAGAAACCCCAGAAAGCCCUUCUGGGGUGGGGGUGGGAGGCUGCAGGUCCCCACCCCCAGCGGCCCAGGGAGGAGGGAGGGCCUGUGUCCUGGGGACGGGGAGGAGGAAGCGGGGAGUCGGAAGACAGGAGCCCCGAGCCCACUUGCCCAUUCCAUCCCCUCCUGGCUCUGGGGGCUGGUGCAUGACAAGGUCCUGCCCGGCAGUGCCAUCAGUGUCACCAGGGGGCCCAGAGACUGAAGCCACCAGGGCAAGGUCACCCUGACAGGGCUUCCUGACCGCCCGGUCUCCUGAGCCCUUUUAGACCGCACCGCGCCCACCGCCACCUGCAGGAGCCUCAUCACUGCUCAGACCCCUCGACUUCUGGCCUGUCAUUCUCCCCGUGCUUGGACAGGCCAGGCCCAGAGAAGUCAGCCCCUCAGCCUUCAUGCCCCAGAGUCAGGAAUAAGAUCCACGGAGGCCAGGCACCAGGCACCAUGGGGAAACUCUGCCUCAGGCCGAGGGGAGGCUCUGGGGAGGGACGAGCCCUCUGGAAUCCAGAACUUGGCCUAGCGUGCCGGGAGCCCAGGCCCACAGAGGGGCACGACCCGGCCAAGUGAUCAGGGCAGGACCCAGGAGGAAGUUGGGGGGGACCCAGAGUUGUGGGUAUUCUCCUGGCAGAGGGACGAGGUGGGUGUGUGCAUCUGGGAGUGGGAAGUUCCCCCUCCUCAAACCCCUCCGCCACCGCAGCUCCAGGCAGUGCAGGUGGGCUGGGGCCCCCGCCCAGAGAGGUGGGAGAGGCAGAGGACUAGCAAGCGGGAGGAGGUGGGGGUUCAAAAGGCUACUGACUGGUGAGCUGGGACUCCUAGGGAGGGAGGCAGUGGGAACACAGACAUUCUGAGUAAGGAGGGGGGCAGAAGCUGCCCAGCAGGCCGGGUGCCCUUCUCCAAGAGGGCUGAUCCAGGGAGGCUGGCGUGAGAGGGCGUGCCGAGGCCCCAGGACUGCCUAGUCCAGGUCCCGGGGCAGCAAGACCCAGUGUGGGGGGGCUCAGGCCUAGGGCCAGCCAUGCCUGGGCUCCAUCCCUCGAGCCUCAGUCUCCUCCUCUAUGAAAUGGGUGUCCUUGCUGGGAGGAUUCGCUGGAGCAUCAUGGGUUUGGCAUGUGGGACUCCAGAUGUCUUGCCUGCCUGCCGGGCUGGAGAGAAGCGACCACUUGUGCUCCUGCAGCUCCGGGAAAGGACAGAAGGGGAGAGUGAGGGCCGCGCACUCCUGUGACCCAGGCUCUGGGAGGGCAGACCCAGCCUUCUGGCCCCCGAAACACCAGGGGGCAUGGGCCCACCUGCUGGAAUGCAAACAAGUUUGGGCUGGUUCUGCAAAGUUUUUCCCUCCCCUCCUCUUCCCGGCCCUUCUCUCCCCCUCCCUGCCUUCCUUUUCCGUCUCUUACUUUAAUUAUCAAAGCGAGGCAUGCGCCUUACAGGAAAGUGAGAAAAUGUAGGCAAAUCAAAAGGAAUUUUAAAUGCCCCUGGUUCCAUCUACCCAGAGAGAACCAGCUUAACACCAGGUUGGCACCAGGUUGGCGCGGA
Mustela erminea (ermine) is the source of this 2672-nucleotide long non-coding RNA. RefSeq lists it as uncharacterized. NCBI's taxonomy places the organism in Eukaryota, Metazoa, Chordata, Mammalia, Carnivora, Mustelidae. The record is from RefSeq and is a predicted model, not a curated record. The transcript has 4 exons.